Molecule: long non-coding RNA, 573 nt
Filed under: Homo sapiens (human)
Lineage: Eukaryota; Metazoa; Chordata; Mammalia; Primates; Hominidae
Description: non-protein coding lnc-FAM168B-1:3
Source: RNAcentral
ACACAGCAGAGCCGUCCACAGACCCGGCCCAGGGGCCGCCGGGAUCAUCCCGCCCAGUCGAGCUCUUGGGCCCCCUUGAAGCCUAGGAGUGUUUUCUCAGAGAGAAAGCAGCACGCUUCUUGCGCAUUUGCACAUCUCCAACGCAGCGCUUCGGCCUGUCCUCCGCACUGGAGACUCAGGUGCCUCCGCCCUCCUGAGAGCAGGGGCGGCCUCUCUGCUGAGAGUUCUGAUUGUCAAGCUCCCAGAACUUUCAGAGUUCAGUCCGCCCAGCGUUCUUGUUUACCAGUUGAGGAAACGGAGGCCCAGGGAGGCUGUGCAGCGCGCCGGCACUCACACACCUGGUGGGGACAAAUGUGGACUAGGAUAUCUGGGACCGAAGUCUUGGCCUCCAGCUCCCUCUUGCCUCCCACUUACCUUUCCAGGAAGAGGCCCACGAAAGCUAAGACCCCAAGGCCCAUGUGCACCAUACUGCAGCCCUGCUCUGUCCACCAUUUCUGAGAUCGGCGCCCCACAGAGGGAGAGCAUCUGCCCAGACUGGCUUUUUGCACCCCUGCUCAAGCCUGCACCCUCGUC